Molecule: transfer RNA, 73 nt
Filed under: Strongylocentrotus purpuratus (purple sea urchin)
Lineage: Eukaryota; Metazoa; Echinodermata; Echinoidea; Camarodonta; Strongylocentrotidae
Description: tRNA-Arg
Rfam family: tRNA
About the family: Transfer RNA (tRNA) molecules are approximately 80 nucleotides in length. Their secondary structure includes four short double-helical elements and three loops (D, anti-codon, and T loops). Further hydrogen bonds mediate the characteristic L-shaped molecular structure. tRNAs have two regions of fundamental functional importance: the anti-codon, which is responsible for specific mRNA codon recognition, and the 3' end, to which the tRNAs corresponding amino acid is attached (by aminoacyl-tRNA synthetases). tRNAs cope with the degeneracy of the genetic code in two manners: having more than one tRNA (with a specific anti-codon) for a particular amino acid; and 'wobble' base-pairing, i.e. permitting non-standard base-pairing at the 3rd anti-codon position.
Source: Rfam by way of RNAcentral
GCCUCCGUGGCCUAAUGGAUAAGGCAUCGGUUUUCUAAACCGGGGAUUGUGGGUUCGAGUCCCACUGGAGGUA